CCGAACGCACCGCUUCGGUGGUGAGUGGCGAACGGGUGAGUAAUACAUAAGUAACCUGGCCUUUCGAGGGGGAUAACUAUUGGAAACGAUAGCUAAGACCGCAUAGGCAUAAUUCUCGCAUGAGAGUUGUGUUAAAUAUCCUAUGGGAUAGCGAGAGGAUGGACUUAUGGCGCAUUAGCUAGUUGGUGAGGGUAACGGCCCACCAAGGCGACGAUGCGUAGCCGACCUGAGAGGGUGGACGGCCACACUGGGACUGAGACACGGCCCAGACUCCUACGGGAGGCAGCAGUAGGGAAUUUUCGGCAAUGGGCGAGAGCCUGACCGAGCAACGCCGCGUGAGGGAGGAAGUAUUUCGGUAUGUAAACCUCUGUUAUAAAGGAAGAACGGCGCAUGUAGGGAAUGACAUGCGAGUGACGGUACUUUAUGAGAAAGCCACGGCUAACUACGUGCCAGCAGCCGCGGUAAUACGUAGGUGGCGAGCGUUAUCCGGAAUCAUUGGGCGUAAAGAGGGAGCAGGCGGCAACUAGGGUCUGCGGUAAAAGACCGAAGCUAAACUUCGGUAAGCCGUGGAAACCGAGGAGCUAGAGUGCAGUAGAGGAUCGUGGAAUUCCAUGUGUAGCGGUGAAAUGCGUAGAUAUAUGGAGGAACACCAGUGGCGAAGGCGACGAUCUGGGCUGCAACUGACGCUCAGUCCCGAAAGCGUGGGGAGCAAAUAGGAUUAGAUACCCUAGUAGUC
Molecule: ribosomal RNA, 736 nt
Filed under: uncultured bacterium
Lineage: Bacteria
Description: bacterial SSU rRNA
Rfam family: Bacterial small subunit ribosomal RNA
Source: RNAcentral